This is a long non-coding RNA of Triticum aestivum (bread wheat), 1697 nucleotides long. RefSeq lists it as uncharacterized. The record is from RefSeq and is a predicted model, not a curated record. Lineage: Eukaryota; Viridiplantae; Streptophyta; Magnoliopsida; Poales; Poaceae. The transcript has 3 exons.
AGCUGGUGGCAAGGACAACUUCUUCCACUGUGAACUGGUAGCAUUGAUACUCUACUUAUCAAUGGAUCGAUAUAUUAGGCCGGCUGCCUUUGCUCUGAUCGACAGGUCCAUGACAUCUCGCUGAACCACUACUGGAUGUGGCGUCGACGAAGCACUACACCUAGCUUGCUCGCCGGCGCGCGCGUGUGUGCUUUGAUGCGCGUCACUUCGUCGAGCUGGCUGGACCGCGACAAUCACCGGAGCCGGAGCUGGAGGAGGCGACGAGAUGCUAUUGCUGCGGCUGCGUCCUCGGAGGCAGCAGCUGCCCCUCGCCGACCUCGCCAACCUCCGGUGUCCGCCAUGUGCUCUGCGUAGGACCCCUUCUACAUCGUCCAGGAGGAGAUCCAGGGCUGGGUAAUCCCCCCAUCCCCUUCCGCCCUCCCUCCCUCCCCGGUGCCCCUUUCUCUUCCUCUGGUUGCGAAUUUUGAUAUGCUGCCGCUGUUUAUUUGGCUGCGCCAUGGCGUACUGUCAGCUGAAAACUGGUUCUUUAUUUUCUACUCCAGUACUGUAUGGAGUAGUAUAUAAGGACGUCUUACUGUAGUAUGGCUAAGGCAGUGACCAGCUUGGUAGUUAGUACUAGCUGAGAAAAUUCAUGAUGCUGGCUGGGAGCAAAAAAUUUAUAGGCUUAGUUGCUGUAUUGGUUCUGUAGUUGUAUGGGGAUAUAUGCAUAGAUAUGUAACGUGUGGGUUCCAAGCAUGUUUCCGAGAUUUUUUUUAAUUUUUUUGGCUCUUGCAACACUUGGAUUAUUUAUUAAUAUAACCCAGCAGCGAUGCUUCCAUUUUAACACAUGUACUAGUGUGCUAAAACUACUACUGUACCUACUUCUUCUUAGCCUGAGUAGUACAUCAGGCUUGUAUUAACUUGUGUUAAUUGUAUUAACUUGUAGCCUAUUCACUGCAGUCAUCUUGUGCUUUUAUCUUCUCUAUGAUGCCAUUUGCCUUUGAGUCUACUCAUUGAAUACCUUAUGCUCACAUAUAUUUUUAGUCCCUCUAUUUCCAUAAAUGUGACACUGUUUUGUUUCUAAAUACUUGACACAUACAAGUUUGAGGGCAUUAUCCUAAACCCUUGCUAUGAUUGAUCCAUCUCCUCUACUUUGUUACUUGUGCUUAAUUGAGAUGUUACUCAAGGGUAGUGUUUGGGCCAGCAUAUAUAAAUCAUAUGGUCGCUUACUUUAAUAUGUGUGUUGACUCAAAACUGUCAAAAUAUCUAGAAAGAGAGUGAACUCACUUAACAGAUUCUUUCAAUCUUCAAUGGUUAUGGUUUUUGCAUUAUAGAUUCUUAAUCUCGGCUGAUUCCAGAUUCUUCCAAGUGCUAGCUAGCUCCAAAAGCAAAUCGUCUUCAUUUGGAAGAUGCAACAUUCUACCAGAAUCCAUUCUCCUGCUCUUUUUCUUGUACUGUAUGUCAUCCAUUGUUCAACCCUGUUGGCUGCUGGUGGAUGUGGUGGUGAUCCUCCUGUUAGGAGGUAGAGGAUGUGAGCUGAGCUGCUGUCUGGUCGAGGAAGAAAGUCACUGUCUUUACUAGUGAAACAAAUUGCUGCGGCAGCCAUGCUUGUGAGCUUAUGAUGUGCCUCUAGUUUAGUUUGUCGGUUUAUGUGAAUCGUUCUCUAUGAUGUAUGAUGUAUUGCUGCUGUUAGCUGUAAAUGUGAUGUAUGAUGAGUU